This 830-nucleotide ribosomal RNA is filed under the name Orbilia albidorosea. Its description in RNAcentral is "LSU rRNA". It matches the Rfam family "Eukaryotic large subunit ribosomal RNA", at positions 93 to 942 of the family's 3401-position model. The record is from RNAcentral. Lineage: Eukaryota; Fungi; Ascomycota; Orbiliomycetes; Orbiliales; Orbiliaceae.
GUGAAGCGGCAACAGCUCAAAUUUGAAAUCUGAAGUCUUUGUCUUCCGAGUUGUAAUUUGAAGAGGAUGCUUCGGUUGUGGCCUGGGCCUAAGUUCCUUGGAACAGGACGUCGUAGAGGGUGAGAAUCCCGUACACGGCUGCCGGCUUACUUCCAUGUGUAGCUCCUUCGAAGAGUCGAGUUGUUUGGGAAUGCAGCUCAAAAUGGGUGGUAAAUUUCAUCUAAAGCUAAAUACUGGCGAGAGACCGAUAGCGCACAAGUAGAGUGAUCGAAAGAUGAAAAGCACUUUGAAAAGAGAGUUAAACAGUACGUGAAAUUGUUGAAAGGGAAGCGCUUGCAAUCAGACUUGCUCGCGGUUGAUCAACGUUCCUUUUGGUUCGUGCACUCUGCCGUUUGCAGGCCAGCAUCAGUUGGAGCGGUGGGACAAAGACUCUGAGAAUGUGGCUUCCUUCGGGGAGUGUUAUAGCUCAGUGUGUAAUGCCACCAGCACCGACUGAGGUCCGCGCUUUUGCUAGGAUGCUGGCUUAAUGGUUGUAAGCGACCCGUCUUGAAACACGGACCAAGGAGUCUAACAUCUAUGCGAGUGUUUGGGUGUCAAACCCAUACGCGUAAUGAAAGUGAACGGAGGUGGGAGUCUCACGAUGCACCAUCGACCGAUCCUGAUGUUCUCGGAUGGAUUUGAGUAGGAGCAUAGCUGUUGGGACCCGAAAGAUGGUGAACUAUGCCUGAAUAGGGUGAAGCCAGAGGAAACUCUGGUGGAGGCUCGCAGCGGUUCUGACGUGCAAAUCGAUCGUCAAAUUUGGGUAUAGGGGCGAAAGACUAAUCGAACCA